GACAGAAAGAAGAGGCAGAGACAGAGACAGAGACAGAAAGAAGGGGCAGAGACAGAGACAGAGACAGAAAGAAGGGGCAGAGACAGAGACAGAGACAGAAAGAAGGGGCAGAGACAGAGACAGAGUAAGAAAGAAGGGGCAGAGACACAGACAGAAGGAAGGGGCAGAGACAGAAAGAAGGGGCAGAGACAGAAAGAAGGGGCAGAGACAGAGACAGAACGAAGGGGCAGAGACAGAGACAGAAAGAAGGGGCAGAGACAGAGACAGAAAGAAGGGGCAGAGACAGAGACAGAAAGAAGGUGCAGAGACAGAGACAGAAAGAAGGUGCAGAGAAAGAGACAGAGACAGAAAGAAGGGGCAGAGACAGAGACAGAGUAAGAAAGAAGGGGCAGAGACAGAGACAGAAAGAAGGGGCAGAGACAGAGGCAGAAAGAAGGGGCAGAGACAGAGGCAGAAAGAAGGUGCAGAGACAGAGGCAGAAAGAAGGUGCAGAGACAGAGACAGAGACAGAAAGAAGGGGCAGAGACAGAGACAGAGACAGAAAGAAGGGGCAGAGACAGAGACAGAGACAGAAAGAAGAGGCAGAGACAGAGACAGAGACAGAAAGAAGGGGCAGAGACAGAGACAGAGACAGAAAGAAGGGGCAGAGACAGAGACAGAGACAGAAAGAAGAGGCAGAGACAGAGACAGAAAGAAGAGGCAGAGACAGAGACAGAAAGAAGGGACAGAGACAGAGACAGAAAGAAGGGGCAGAGACAGAGACAGAAAGAAGGGGCAGAGACAGAGACAGAAAGAAG
Long non-coding RNA from Oncorhynchus tshawytscha (Chinook salmon), 797 nucleotides. NCBI's taxonomy places the organism in Eukaryota, Metazoa, Chordata, Actinopteri, Salmoniformes, Salmonidae. The record is from Ensembl.